UUUCUCUUGGCAAGCUGGGGUGUUUAGUCAAGCAUAGGUAUAAGAAAUGAAGUAUUUCUGGUCUAACUGGCUUCCACUAGCUAGAGACCACUUAUUCCACGGACUGUAGCCUACCUACCUGCUUCGAUCCCUCUGUGAAUUCUUCGAUUUUGAAUUCCUUGUCAAAAUAGACCCGAAUCAAAAAAUAGUAUAUUCGGGUUCGAAACCAUAUGAAAGGGUUGGGGAUGCCAACCACAACCACCUUCUGGUUUUGUUUACCUCCACCUCGAUCAGAGCUGUAAGGUCGGACUGUGGACACGACACCAACGGACAAAGUUGGAGCCAGGCGAGUAGUCUUGUUGGACUGGGGCUGCACAACGUGAUCAGGUUUCAAGAAACGAAUCAAUACUGAAGGCGUCCUGCUACAGUAGCAACCUCUUAACAUGGGCAGCGCCAUCUUUUCCUCCCACAGCAACUCGGUCCUUUAGUCUGCAUCGUCCGACAGAAAACAUGGUGUUUUCCAGACAAGGGUGGAAUAGACUGCUUCCAAAUUGAGAUACCAACGGACCAAACGGCUUCUCAACAGCUUUUACCCCCAAGCCAUAAGACUCCUGAACAGGACCUGAGCCCUUGGACCAUGCCUCAGGACUACCUGGCCUGAUGACUCC
Salvelinus namaycush (lake trout) is the source of this 647-nucleotide long non-coding RNA. RefSeq lists it as uncharacterized. The record is from RefSeq and is a predicted model, not a curated record. NCBI's taxonomy places the organism in Eukaryota, Metazoa, Chordata, Actinopteri, Salmoniformes, Salmonidae. The transcript has 3 exons.